ACGUAGGUGGCAAGCGUUAUCCGGAUUUAUUGGGCGUAAAGCGAGCGCAGGCGGUUGCUUAGGUCUGAUGUGAAAGCCCACGGCUCAACCGUGGAACUGCAUCGGAAACUGUCAUUCUUGAGUGCAGAAGAGGAGAGUGGAACUCCAUGUGUAGCGGUGGAAUGCGUAGAUAUAUGGAAGAACACCAGUGGCGAAGGCGGCUCUCUGGUCUGCAACUGACGCUGAGGCUCGAAAGCAUGGGUAGCGAACAGGAUUAGAUACCCUGGUAGUCCAUGCCGUAAACGAUGAGUGCUAGGUGUUGGAGGGUUUCCGCCCUUCAGUGCCGGAGCUAACGCAUUAAGCACUCCGCCUGGGGAGUACGACCGCAAGGUUG
RNAcentral lists this ribosomal RNA (373 nucleotides) under uncultured bacterium. Its description in RNAcentral is "bacterial SSU rRNA". It matches the Rfam family "Bacterial small subunit ribosomal RNA", at positions 525 to 896 of the family's 1533-position model. The record is from RNAcentral.